UACGUAGGGGGCGAGCGUUGUCCGGAUUUAUUGGGCGUAAAGAGCGUGUAGGCGGUUCGGUAAGUCUGUCGUGAAAUCCUGAGGCUCAACCUCGGGCGUGCGAUGGAUACUGCCGGGCUAGAGGAUGGUAGAGGCGAGUGGAAUUCCUGGUGUAGCGGUGAAAUGCGCAGAUAUCAGGAGGAACACCAAUGGCGAAGGCAGCUCGCUGGGACGUGACUGACGCUGAGACGCGAAAGCGUGGGGAGCAAACAGG
RNAcentral lists this ribosomal RNA (253 nucleotides) under uncultured bacterium. Its description in RNAcentral is "partial 16S ribosomal RNA". It matches the Rfam family "Bacterial small subunit ribosomal RNA", at positions 524 to 776 of the family's 1533-position model. The record is from RNAcentral.